CCAGCAGCCGCGGUAAUACGGAGGAUGCAAGCGUUAUCCGGAAUGAUUGGGCGUAAAGCGUCCGCAGGUGGUUUAUCAAGUUUGCGGUUAAAGGUUCUGGCUCAACCAGAGACAGGCCGUGAAAACUGAUAGACUAGAGUAUGGUAGGGGCAGAGGGAAUUCCCAGUGUAGCGGUGAAAUGCGUAGAGAUUGGGAAGAACACCGGUGGCGAAAGCGCUCUGCUAGGCCAAAACUGACACUGAGGGACGAAAGCUAGGGGAGCGAAUGGGAUUAGAUACCCCAGUAGUCCUAGCCGUAAACGAUGGAUACUAGGUGUAGCUUGUAUCGACCCAAGCUGUGCCGUAGCUAACGCGUUAAGUAUCCCGCCUGGGGAGUACGCGCGCAAGCGUGAAACUCAAAGGAAUUGACGGGGGCCCGCACAAGCGGUGGAGUAUGUGGUUUAAUUCGAUGCAACGCGAAGAACCUUACCAGGACUUGACAUGUCGCGAAUCUUACUGAAAGGUAGGAGUGCCUUAGGGAGCGCGAACACAGGUGGUGCAUGGCUGUCGUCAGCUCGUGUCAUGAGAUGUUGGGUUAAGUCCCGCAACGAGCGCAACCCUCGUUUUUAGUUGCCAUCAUUAAGUUGGGCACUCUAGAGAGACUGCCGGUGACAAACCGGAGGAAGGUGGGGAUGACGUCAAGUCAGCAUGCCCCUUACGUUCUGGGCUACACACGCACUACAAUGCUACGGACAAAGGGCAGCAAGCAUGCGAAUGCAAGCCAAUCCCAUAAACCGUGGCUCAGUUCAGAUUGCAGGCUGCAACUCGCCUGCAUGAAGGCGGAAUCGCUAGUAAUCGCAGGUCAGCACUACUGCGGUGUAUACGUUCCCGGGCCUUGUACACACCGCCCGUCACACCAUGGAAGCUGGCUUAGCCCGAAGUCGUUACCCUAACCGUAAGGAGGGGGAUGCCGAAGGCAGGGCUGGUGACUGGGGUGAAGUCGUAACAAGGUAACCAA
This 996-nucleotide ribosomal RNA is filed under the name uncultured cyanobacterium. RNAcentral's name for it is "bacterial SSU rRNA". It matches the Rfam family "Bacterial small subunit ribosomal RNA", at positions 508 to 1503 of the family's 1533-position model. Lineage: Bacteria; Bacillati; Cyanobacteriota. The record is from RNAcentral.